ACGAAGGUCCCGAGCGUUGUUCGGAAUCACUGGGCGUAAAGGGAGCGUAGGCGGCGUGGUAAGUCAGAUGUGAAAUCCCGGGGCUCAACCCCGGAACUGCAUCCGAUACUGCCGUGCUAGAGGAUUGGAGAGGUAGCUGGAAUUCUUGGUGUAGCAGUGAAAUGCGUGGAUAUCAAGAGGAACACUCGUGGCGAAAGCGAGCUACUGGACAACUCCUGACGCUGAGGCUCGAAGGCCAGGGUAGCGAAAGGGAUUAGAUACCCCUGUAGUCCUGGCAGUAAACGGUGCACGCUUGGUGUGAGGGGAAUCGACCCCCCCUUGUGCCGGAGCAAACGCGUUAAGCGUGCCGCCUGGGAAGUACGGUCGCAAGACUA
Molecule: ribosomal RNA, 374 nt
Filed under: uncultured bacterium
Lineage: Bacteria
Description: bacterial SSU rRNA
Rfam family: Bacterial small subunit ribosomal RNA
Source: RNAcentral